Molecule: non-coding RNA, 84 nt
Organism: Mycena filopes
Lineage: Eukaryota; Fungi; Basidiomycota; Agaricomycetes; Agaricales; Mycenaceae
Source: the annotation of a GenBank genome assembly
CCCACCCUAGUCCAGCGGUAAACCGCCCGUUCGGGAGUAAAAUCCUGAACCGGGCCGGCAGAGGUUCGACUCCUCUCGGUGGCA